This 100-nucleotide ribosomal RNA is filed under the name uncultured bacterium. RNAcentral describes it as "partial 16S ribosomal RNA". The record is from RNAcentral.
CCUUCGGGUUGUAAACCGCUUUGUCAGGGAAGAAAAGCUCCGGGCUAAUACCUUGGAGUCAUGACGGUACCUGAAGAAUAAGCACCGGCUAACUACGUGC